UAAUGUUUCAACUUAAAUUUCAGCUAAAGUUUUUGUGCGACCUAGGUGCUUGUGAGUUGUGAAAUAGAAAACAAAGGUAUCCAAUCCAAUAAUGCAAGCUGUGUCAUCCAAAGCAAAAUAGUUUCUACUGUCAUUUAAUGUUUAUGAUAAUAUUUCGGGUUCACUACCCUUUCAAAUUGUUGUAAAUCUUCAAGAUAUUGAUGCCUUCCCCAGAUCCAAUUCUUUGCUGCUUUCUCUUCUCUUUUGCAGAUAAGAUCAAAAUAAUGCUGCCACUCAAGAGAUUGUGGUGACCACCACUUAGUUCUAAUUUAGGACAAAUUAACAUUGAUAGAUUUGAGGGCGAGAUUCUCACCACCGUUAUAGUUGUUCGGAAACUGACAGCAUUAACCAACGCUCACCGGUGGGCACACUGGGAUAAUUAGGAGGAUGAGGAGGGCUCUGAUGCGACUAUACAUGUACUUCCGCUGCGACACACCUGCGCACCCACACCUCACUCACCACUGGAUUCUGCCCAGGGAAAGCUGCUGGAGUAAUCUGGUGUUCAAGCUCAUUUUAUUCAUUUCGUGCCAGCUAGUGAAAGCCGAAAUUUUUUUUU
Molecule: long non-coding RNA, 595 nt
Organism: Daphnia pulicaria
Lineage: Eukaryota; Metazoa; Arthropoda; Branchiopoda; Diplostraca; Daphniidae
Exons: 3
Source: RefSeq, a predicted model, not a curated record